This is a non-coding RNA of Podarcis lilfordi (Lilford's wall lizard), 150 nucleotides long. Lineage: Eukaryota; Metazoa; Chordata; Lepidosauria; Squamata; Lacertidae. The record is from the annotation of a GenBank genome assembly.
UGUAAGUAACUUAGGAACAUAGGAAGCUACUUUUCAGAUGUAAGGAAUUGUUAUCAAACAAAACUGAGCACUUCACCAAACUAUAAUUUCCAGUAGAGUGUGUGUGUGUGUGUGUGUGUGUGUGUGUGUGUGUAGCAUAGAUAUGUCCAA